RNAcentral lists this ribosomal RNA (475 nucleotides) under uncultured bacterium. RNAcentral's name for it is "bacterial LSU rRNA". It matches the Rfam family "Bacterial large subunit ribosomal RNA", at positions 865 to 1334 of the family's 2925-position model. The record is from RNAcentral.
UGCAUUUAGGUGCAGCCUUGCGGGUUACUGAUGUGAGGUAGAGCGACUGAUAAGAUGCGAGGGCUUCACCGCCUAUCAAGUCUUGACAAACUCCGAAUGCGCAUCAGUUCUACCGCAGGAGUGAGGGCAUGGGUGCUAAGGUCCGUGCCCGAGAGGAGAAGAAUCCGGACCACCUGCUAAGGUCCCGAAAUUACAGCUAAGUUAAACUAACGAAGUCUGACUGCUAAGACAGCUAGGAUGUUUGCUUGGAAGCAGCAAUUCAUUUAAAGAGUGCGUAACAGCUCACUAGUCGAGCGGUUGAGCGUGGAUGAUAAACGGGCAUCAAAUCUAUUACCGAAGCUAUGGAUUUAUACAGUGAUGUAUGAGUGGUAGAGGAGCAUUCUAACAGCGUCGAAGGUGAGUCGUGAGGCUUGCUGGAGCGGUUAGAAAAGCCAAUGUAGGCAUAAGUAACGAUAAGGCAGGUGAGAAACCUGCC